This 304-nucleotide ribosomal RNA is filed under the name uncultured bacterium. Its description in RNAcentral is "partial 16S ribosomal RNA". It matches the Rfam family "Bacterial small subunit ribosomal RNA", at positions 506 to 807 of the family's 1533-position model. The record is from RNAcentral.
CAGCAGUAGCCACGGGAAUACAGAGGAUGCAAGCGUUAUCCGGAAUGAUUGGGCGUAAAGCGUCUGUAGGUGGCUUUUCAAGUCCGCCGUCAAAUCCCCGGGCUCAACCGGGGAGGGUCAUUGGAAACUGGGAAACUUGAGUGCAGAAGAGGAGAGUGGAAUUCCACGUGUAGCGGUGAAAUGCGUAGAGAUGUGGAGGAACACCAGUGGCGAAGGCGACUCUCUGGUCUGUAACUGACGCUGAGGAGCGAAAGCGUGGGGAGCGAACAGGAUUAGAGACCCCCGUAGUCCCUGUCUCUUAUAC